CCUACGGGUGGCUGCAGUGAGGAAUAUUGGUCAAUGGACGCAAGCCUGAACCAGCCAAGUCGCGUGCAGGAUGACGGCCCUCCGGGUUGUAAACUGCUUUUAGUUGGGAAUAAAAGGGGGCUCGUGAGCCCCGUAUUGUAUGUACCACCAGAAAAACGACCGGCGAAUUCCGUGCCAGCAGCCGGGGUAAUACGGAAGGUCCGGGCGUUAUCCGGAUUUAUGGGGUUUAAAGGGAGCGAAGGCCGUAUUUUAAGUCAGCUGUGAAAGUCCGCGGCUCAACCGUGGGAUUGCAGUUGAAACUGGAGGCCUUGAGUGCACACAGAGAUGGCGGAAUUCAUGGUGUAGCGGUGAAAUGCUUAGAUAUCAUGAAGAACUCCGAUCGCGAAGGCAGGUGUCCGGGGUGCAACUGACGCUGAGGCUCGAAAGUGCGGGUAUCAAACAGGAUUAGAUACCCGUGUAGUC
RNAcentral lists this ribosomal RNA (462 nucleotides) under uncultured bacterium. Its description in RNAcentral is "partial 16S ribosomal RNA". It matches the Rfam family "Bacterial small subunit ribosomal RNA", at positions 338 to 795 of the family's 1533-position model. The record is from RNAcentral.